GACGAACGCUGGCGGUGUGCUUAACACAUGCAAGUCGAACGGCAACGCCCUGCGUUUGUGGGCUUCUCGAGUGGCAAACGCGUGCGUAACACGAGUGUAACGUGCUCUAGUCUUUGGGGUAACUUCACGAAACUGGGGCUAAUCCCGUAUAGGAUCCCCUCCUGCAUUGUGGGCGUUGGAACUUCUCUGCGGUUGGGGAUGGAUUCGCGGGUUAUCGGCUUGCUGGUUGGGUAGUGGCAUACCCACGCUUUGACGGGUCGCCGGCUUGAGAGGGAGACCGGCCACAAGGGGACUGAGAGACGGAGCAGACGCGAAUGGGAGGCAACAGUGGGGAAUAUUGCACAAUGGGCGGAAGUGUGAUGCGGAGGCGCCGCGGUCGGGAUGACGGCCUUUUGGUAGUGAACCGCAUUCGCCUGUGACGAAGCGUGAGUGACGGUACUGAGUAAAUAAGCACCGGCUAACUACGUG
This 468-nucleotide ribosomal RNA is filed under the name uncultured bacterium. Its description in RNAcentral is "partial 16S ribosomal RNA". It matches the Rfam family "Bacterial small subunit ribosomal RNA", at positions 28 to 507 of the family's 1533-position model. The record is from RNAcentral.